Molecule: ribosomal RNA, 349 nt
Filed under: uncultured Mycobacterium sp.
Lineage: Bacteria; Bacillati; Actinomycetota; Actinomycetes; Mycobacteriales; Mycobacteriaceae
Description: bacterial SSU rRNA
Rfam family: Bacterial small subunit ribosomal RNA
Source: RNAcentral
AGAGUUUGAUCCUGGCUCAGGACGAACGCUGGCGGCGUGCUUAACACAUGCAAGUCGAACGGAAAGGCCUCUUCGGAGGUACUCGAGUGGCGAACGGGUGAGUAACACGUGGGCAAUCUGCCCUGCACUUCGGGAUAAGCCUGGGAAACUGGGUCUAAUACCGGAUAGGACCUAAAGACGCAUGUCUUCUGGUGGAAAGCUUUUGCGGUGUGGGAUGGGCCCGCGGCCUAUCAGCUUGUUGGUGGGGUGACGGCCUACCAAGGCGACGACGGGUAGCCGGCCUGAGAGGGUGUCCGGCCACACUGGGACUGAGAUACGGCCCAGACUCCUACGGGAGGCAGCAGAAGGG